RNAcentral lists this long non-coding RNA (2695 nucleotides) under Mus musculus (house mouse). RNAcentral's name for it is "long non-coding RNA chr10:20090643-20093338". The record is from RNAcentral. Lineage: Eukaryota; Metazoa; Chordata; Mammalia; Rodentia; Muridae.
AGAGGAAGCCCCUAGUGUUUGUCAGUGGAUUUGGUGGAGGGAGGAAGGGAAGGAACCAUUGUGGGCUGCAAGGGCAGGGCUAUCAGGCAUGUGCUUGAAGACGGGUGUGGGUGUCGGGCGGGUACAGACAAUACGCUGGGACAUCACCAUGACACUGGUGUUGAAAACAAAACUGAUAUUCAUUUUUAAUCUUAUCUGUGAUAGGGUUCCCGAUAGCAUGGAAUCUUAGCUACGGCUCUGUUGCUAUGAAGUGGCACCUUGACCAAGGCAAAUGUUGUAAGAGAAAGCGUUUAACUGGGGACUUGUGUACAGUUUCAGAGGGUUAGUUCACAAUUAUCAUGGCAGGAAGCAGACAGGCAUGGUGCUAGAGCAGUAACUAAAAGAGAUUUCUAUCAUGAUGUGCAGGCAGCAGGCACAAAGAGACUGAGCCUGGUGUGGGCUUUUGAAACCUUAAAGCUGGUAGGUAACAUGCCUCCUCCAGCAAGGCCACACCUCCUAACCUUUCCUAAACAGUUCACCAACUAGUGACUAAGCAUGCUACUGUACGAGCCAUGAGCCGACCUGAGCGACUCUCAUUCAAAGCACCGUACUUGGGUAGGAGGAAGAACACAAACUCUUGAUUCUGAAGAUCUGACUUUAAACACACUCUGACAUCUUCACAAAAGAGCUCUCCGGUGGUGUGUAGAUUAAUAGGGGCCGUGUGUCUUUCUUACUAUGGAACAAGGAGUUUGGAGAUCAGAUGAGGAAGCUCACUUGACUUUUUUUUUCCUUCUAAGUUUUGAAGUACUAUAAUACUAUAAAAUGUUAAUGAAUCUCAGUCUAGUGUGUAGGUCUGUUUCUUGAAGAGGGACAUUGGCAAAGUUGAGCUUCUUUGUUAAUAGUCUUUGUUGGUGGAAUGUCAGCAAGCACAGCCCCAGGAUGGCCAGAUUCCAGACCACAGGAAUUGGGUGUGGCCACUUGCACUCCUUGGGUGGUAUGGUUGAGGUAGUCUUACUGCAUCUUUACAAGGUCCCUGUUGCAUGUUCCAAGUCUGGGCAUAUUGUUUGUGACUCCCUGCUGCUUCUCCCAUGUCCCACACCCACCCUCACAUUCCUCAUCUCUCAAACCGAAUUCCCUGAUGAGCUGCGUUAGAAGACCUAUCCUUCAUCUCUCCACUAGGCAUUCAUUCUAGCAUUGGAAGGGUCUCUGAUGUAGCUCUGGUACCUCACAGUGGAUGCUCAAGGUUGCCAUUGAGAGAACAGAUACCACCUUCUUCCCAGAAUUUGGACCUUGUCCCAAGAGAGAGGGGUCCAAGAUGGAGUCCUUCGUAUCCCACUCUAACAGAGUGUUUUGUCCAAGAGAUAAGACCCAAGUGCCUUCAUCAAGGGCUUCAAAACUUGGAGCAGCAUGGCCUGUUGGGCCCCCAGAGUCUAAUUACCAUCCUGUGUUGUUGGCUUGUCCUUUUUAUCUUUGCUCUUAUUAUUUAUUCAUUUAUGUGAGACAGGGUCUUAUGUAGCCCGACAUGACUGUAGCAUCCCUUAUGUUUCUGAAGAUGACCUUGAACUUUUGGUUUCCCUCCCAACUUGGGAUUAGAGAAGGGUACCACCUGAUUCCUUUUAACAUUUAUUUAGUAUGGUUAGAGUUACUUUUGCUGCGAUGAAUUACCAUAACCAAAAAGAACUGUGGAACACAGGGCUGAUUUGGCUUACACUUUCAAAUCACUGUUCCUCACCAAAGGAAGUCCGAGCAGGAACUGAAUCAGAGCUGGAACAUGGAGGCAGAUGUCAUGGAGGGAUACUGCUUCCUGGCUUGGCUCCCCAGGGCUUGCCCAGCCUGUAGAACCCAGGACCACCAGUGCAGUGAUGGCUCCACCCACAAUGGGCUGGACCCGCCCCCAUCAGUCACUGAUUAAGAAAACUGGAGUAUGCUGGCUUGCCUGACUUAAUGGAGGCAUUUUCUUAAUUGAGGUUCCUGCCUCUCAGAGGACAUCAGCUUGUGUCACAUUGACAUAAAACUAACCAGCGCAGUGUGUGUGCCUAAGAAUAUAUUGCAAGCACAACAUGAGUGGAGGUCAGAGUCUGUUGUCUCCUUCCACCGUGUGGGACUGCACUCAGGCACUCUGGGCUCCCACCUUAAGUACAGCUGCUCACUGAACCAUCUUAUCACCCUGCUGGCCUCAUGCUCCUUCUAAUAAUCUUCCUUAUCUUUGAUGUUUUAUUUGGUAGCUUACUAUUUUCCUCUCUCAUGUCUGAGUAUGAAUUUAUUUUUAUCUCCUAUUUAGAGCAAUUCUAGGAACUGCUUUUUUUUUGGGGGGGGGGGUUGUUUUGUUUUUCAAGACAGGGUUUCUCUGUGUAGCCCUGGCUGUCCUGGAACUCACUCUGUAGACCAGGCUGGCCUAGAACUCAGAAAUCCGCCUGCCUCUGCCUCCCAAGUGCUGGGAUUAAAGGUGUGCGCCACCACGCCUGGCUAGGAACUGCAUUUGGUUGUUUCAAAUAGUUAGUCUAUUUUAUUCUUUCUUGUUUUAAAAUUUUCUCAGCUUAUAUCUUUAUGUACACAUUUUUCAGUUUCUAUGCCAUGAGAGCUUCUUCUUUGAAUUUCUUUGCUAGAAUUCACCAGCUGUGGCGGUACAUGCCUAUACUCUGUCCCAACAGUCAAGAAGUAGGGGGAGGGGAAUUGAGGCCGAGGCAACAUGAGCUACCCAGCAAGACUCUGUCUC